GACGAACGCUGGCGGCGUGCUUCAUACAUGCAAGUCGAACGAGAAGCUGACGACGGUCAGUGUCAAGCGGCGGAGGGGGGAGUAAUAUGUAGGAAAGCUUCCCUUAGGAGGGGGACAACAGAGAGAAACUUAUGCUAAUACUCCAUAUGAGCGUAGCUGAGAUGCUAUUCUUGAAAACUCCGGUGCCGAAAGAUGAGUCUGCAUCGGAUUAGCUAGCUGGUAGUGUAAUGGACUCCCAAGGCGAUGAUCAGUAGCAGGAUUGCGGGGAUGCUAAGCCAAAAUCGGACGGAGACACGAGCCGUAAUCCUACCGGAAGCGGCGGUAGGGAAAUGUACGCAAGCGGCGUAAGUCAUACGGAGCUACGCCGCGUGAAAGAUUAAUCCCUUCGAAGAACAAAGUUCUGUGAGUGGGGACGAAUCUUGACGGUACCCACAGAGAAAGCACCGGCUAACUCCGUG
This 458-nucleotide ribosomal RNA is filed under the name uncultured bacterium. RNAcentral describes it as "partial 16S ribosomal RNA". It matches the Rfam family "Bacterial small subunit ribosomal RNA", at positions 28 to 507 of the family's 1533-position model. The record is from RNAcentral.